CCCUUAGAUGUUCUGGGCGGCCCGCGCACUACAAUGGCGUGUGCAGCGAGUGCCGAAGUAGAGUUUUCCGAGGUAUUCUUGCAAUGCUCGUUUUGAUGGGGAUAGACCCUUGCAACUGUUGGUUUUGAACGAGGAAUUCCUUGUAAGCAUGGUUUAUCAUCCGACGCUGAAUGCGUCCCUGCCCUUUGUACACACCGCCCGUCGCUCCUACCGAUUGAAUGGUCCGGUGAAAUCUUCGGAUUGAGACUUUGAUUUCUUCACGGAAAACGCUGUUUUAAAAAGUUGAUUAAACCUUACCAUUUAGAGGAAGGUGAAGUCGUAACA
Molecule: ribosomal RNA, 324 nt
Filed under: uncultured eukaryote
Lineage: Eukaryota
Description: partial 18S ribosomal RNA
Rfam family: Eukaryotic small subunit ribosomal RNA
Source: RNAcentral